CAGAGAAAUUCGCCCUCACGGGUGACUCUCCAACCCUAUGUUAUCAUACCUUUGUUGCUUUGGCGAGCCGCCUCGUGCCACCGACUUUUGCCGGUGAGUGCUCGCCAGAGGACCUAAAACUCUUGAAUUUAUUAUUGUCUGAGUACUAUAUAAUAGUUA
This 159-nucleotide unclassified non-coding RNA is filed under the name uncultured Hyalodendriella. Its description in RNAcentral is "sequence contains ITS1". Lineage: Eukaryota; Fungi; Ascomycota; Leotiomycetes; Helotiales. The record is from RNAcentral.